CUCUCACUACAUCUCUCUCAAAUGAGCCAGUCAGCCUUCCUCGAGAAGCCCGCUGCCGGCCCCCUCUCUUCACCACAGCCCCCGACAGUCCCGAGUCCCCUAGCAGCAACGCGAGAGAAUAGAACGACGGGGGAGGAUACAUUGGACAGCGCCGCCAGCAGCGACUACGGGUCCGACUUCUCCCCCGACGAGGAGGAGCUGUUGAAUCUGCUGCUGGCGCGGAUCGGCGAGGACCACGAGCGGGCGACGACGGUUGUUCCUGGGUCCUGUUCUCCUUCUGUAUUUGCUACGCCUGCACUCACGCCUCUUGCGGUGUCUUCUGAUCCCGCUGGAAGGGAAGAGGGGCCCGAGUCAGGUGCAAUUGGUAUUGGUUAUCCUGAGACGAUUGUGCAACUGCAAUUACAGUCACAGUCACUUCCGCGGCUGCCUCUGACAGAUAUUGAGGAUUAUGUUGGUAUAUCGAGGGAUAGGGUGCCUCGGGUUCUGGGCAGGG
Molecule: small RNA, 493 nt
Filed under: Histoplasma ohiense
Lineage: Eukaryota; Fungi; Ascomycota; Eurotiomycetes; Onygenales; Ajellomycetaceae
Description: hypothetical lncRNA
Source: RNAcentral